RNAcentral lists this ribosomal RNA (301 nucleotides) under uncultured bacterium. RNAcentral's name for it is "partial 16S ribosomal RNA". It matches the Rfam family "Bacterial small subunit ribosomal RNA", at positions 509 to 807 of the family's 1533-position model. The record is from RNAcentral.
CAGUAGCCGCGGGAAUACGUAGGUGGCAAGCGUUGUCCGGAAUUAUUGGGCGUAAAGGGCUCGCAGGCGGUUUCUUAAGUCUGAUGUGAAAGCCCCCGGCUCAACCGGGGAGGGUCAUUGGAAACUGGGAAACUUGAGUGCAGAGGAGGAGAGUGGAGUUCCACGUGUAGCGGUGAAAUGCGUAGAGAUGUGGAGGAACACCAGUGGCGAAGGCGACUCUCUGGUCUGUAACUGACGCUGAGGAGCGAAAGCGUGGGGAGCGAACAGGAUUAGAUACCCGUGUAGUCCCUGUCUCUUAUAC